This 25-nucleotide non-coding RNA is filed under the name Ailuropoda melanoleuca (giant panda). The record is from RNAcentral. Lineage: Eukaryota; Metazoa; Chordata; Mammalia; Carnivora; Ursidae. RNAcentral also lists the same sequence under 1 other name.
CAUAUUCUCUGAAGGGCCCCGAUUC